GGAAGCAAAAACAAGGUCAUGGACCUUGAGGAACAGUUCAGCGGCUUCAGGUGAUGAUACCACAAUGGUCGGUACAUAGCCUAGCUUUAUUGACAUUAUGGGUCCAUAUUUUUUGCCAAGAUGGUGAAGGGUUUGGUGAGGAAAGUUCCCUAGCAUAUGGAGGUUACCAAUAAUGGGAAGAGGAGCAGGACCGGGCGGAGGUUUCCGGCCAUUUUUGUGGUGGUUUCUUGGGAGGAAGAAGUAGAUAAAGGAACAAAGAGGUACAAGGAGUACCAAGAGUAUGGCUAACGUUGAAUAAUAUGUACAAGCCCAUUUGCCCGGGCCCAAUUACAAAAACGAAAAAACCAAACCAAUUAAACCAAACCCGGAGCCCAACUAGCCUAAUCCCUGCCCAAUACACCCAAACAGACCCAAAACUACCCAAGCCCAAAUACCCAAACCUAGCCCAAACCCAAAAACAAAAAAGAAAGAAACAAAGAAAACCCUAGCCCCUAACCCUAGCCUCUGCUGGCCGCCGCGCACUACCGCUACCGCCACUGUCCCAUCGACGCCCCACUUGCACCUGCAAAAUCAAAGAAGAAAAGACAGCAAACAAUAAAGAAAUAUCACAGUACAAAGGGGGGUUUUGUUUUUCGGUAUAAAAACUGAUUGAACCCAUUGUAAAAGGGGGGAACUUUUGUAACAAAAAAGGAAAGAAAUAUCAAUAGAAAAAAGAGACAUUAAAAGGUGAUCUCUUCUUUUUCAUUUCGGAUUUUUUUUCUCUUAUACUCGUUCGUUUGCUAUUUUCAUACAUAUAUAUAUACAUAUAAAAACAAUUUAUAUUAGCAAAAUAAAAAAAAUUACCUUUUUGAAUUUUCUGGCCACCGUGUACGGUGGCCGGUGCGGCGGCGGCUCUCCUCGCCGGGUCUCUGGCCGGCGUCUGGAAAAUGGGGAGAAGGUUAGAGAGAAUUUUAGGUUUUUUUUAAGGAAAAGGGAGAAAAUGAAAUUUUAAGGCAAAAAAUGAUUUACAUAGGAUAUUAAAACGGCGCCGUUUUGGGUAAGGGGGAUCCGCGCGUCGACCCGACCCGACCCGGAGAAUCUGCGUGUUUUUAACUUUUGGGAUAUUUGCACACGCAGUCCCUCCGAUUCGCGGCUCGUUGCAAUUUAGCCCUCUUUUCAUUAUUUUCUGUUAUUUUUAAUUUAGCCCCAUAAUUUUAUUUUUGCUUCAAUUUGGUCCACUUCAACGCUACGUUUUGGGGCUUUGGUUUAUUUACUGUUUUGGUCCCUCUAUGUUCGGCGCAUGUUGCAAUUUAAUCCUUUUAGUUUUUUUAUUUAUUUCGAAAUCGCCCAGUAUUUAAGUUUUAUUUCGAUUUAGUCCGCAUUUUAGCUCUUCUAUUAUUUUAGUUAACUAUUUUAUUAUUAUUGUUAUUAUUAUUGUUAUUAUUAUUAUUAUUAUUAUUAUUAUUAUUAUUGCUUUUAUAUAGAUGUAUAUUAUAUAUAUAUAUAUAUACUUACAUACAUACUUUUUGUAAUAUAUAUAUAUAUACAUAUACCUAUUUUUUAUAAUUUAUUUAUACAUGCAUAUACAUACCUACAUUCUUUAUGUAUAUUGUAUAAUUUUUGUACAUAUCCAUAUACAUAUCUAUAUAUAUAUUAUUUUCAUAUAUAUAUAUAUUUACAGAUCCUUCAUCUUUUUAAAAUAUGUAUUUUAUAUAUGUAUUUUAUGUUUUAUGAUUCAUAUAUAUACCUAUAUGUAUAUACUUUUCAUAUUUUAAUUUACAUACGUAUAUAUGUAUAUACUUACUUAUAUGUAUAUAUUUUUAUAUAAUAAUUUUAAAAAAUGUACAUAUGUUUUUAUAUUUUACAUUAUAUAUAUAUGCAUACACGUGAAUACAUUUAUAUAAUUUAUUUAUAUAUAUAUGUACAUAGUUCUUUUUUUAUAAAUAUAUAAAGUAUACAUAUAUAUACAUACUUUUAUAUAUACAUGCUUUCAUAUAUCUCCAUAAUUUAUAUCUUUUAUAUUUUAUAGCCUUAUUCAUUUCUUUAUUUAUAUUUUCAUUAUUAUUUUGAAUGAAUGUUUUAAUUUUAUUUCCUUAUAUGCAUUGUUAUUUUGUAUGUUAUUGGUUUAUCCUUUUACCUAAUUUAUUCUCAUUGCUAUUACUCAUAUUAUUUAUGCUACAUCAUCGUAUUCAUUUUGUUUUGUUCGCAUAUUGACGUUGUGUUUAUUUCGUGUUAAAUUAAUUUUAUUUGAUGCAUAAAUUAUGAUUUUAUUUGAAUAAGCAAAAUCUCGUGUUUAAAUUUGGGAAGGUCGUACCCUAACUUACUGGGUUUCGAUUUUCACAAUAAAUUUAAAUACACGAGCCUUUUUCAAAACUCAAGUUUUAAAUGAUCUCGGGAAUAAAAAAAAGAUCGUGUCCUAACUCACUGGUCGUGAUCCUUUUUUAAUCCGAGAUAGCUAAAUACCUUUUAAAUUGCCGGCAUUCAUUCGCGCAUCGGGAAUUUGAGACAUUGUGUCCUAACUUACUGGAUAUGAUUCUCUUCCUCGAUUAAUGUGAAAUAUGCCCCUUUCCUCAAACAUUUUCAACAUUUUAAUACAAGGAUCGUAUUUUUAAAACUCUUCAAAGUUUUCAAUUUUCGACAUUAAGACAUUAACUAAUCAACUAGGUGCCAAUUUUGGGCGUAUCGAGGGUGCUAAUCCUUUCUCGUGCGUAACCGACUCCUGAACCCGUUUUUUGAAUUUCGUGGACCAAAAUUGUUGUUUUAAUAAAAUCAAAUCGUUUAUUAAAAACAACCACUUUUCAAGGUGAUCCGAUCACACCUCAUAAAAAAAGAUCGGUGGCGACUCCCAUUUUUUUGUUUUAUUUUCAAACCCAAGUCGACCUCGUUUUCAUAAAAAAAAAAUGGUGUGAACAUAAUACAUUUGGGAUGGGAAAGUAGAGGCGGCCGAUUGGCAAUUGAUAACGCCACCUUAAAUAAGAAAGGAACAAAUAUGACUGUAAUUACAAAUAAAUAGCCAAAUAUGAACCAUAUUUUUCUCAAUCAAAAGAAAAAAAAAACAUGAACCACAAGUGGGGAAAGAAGUUGUAAAUAUCUGGGCAGUGUUGAUGUCACACAAACCAGAGCUGAUGAAAGAUGGACAACGAUGUCACACAAAAAUGGGCAGUGUUGUAAAUAUCUGGUGUUCCCAUAUGAAAAGAUUGCAACCACACCUUUUCAAAAUUUUCAAGAAAUGAGCUGAAAACUGUUGCAGCGCAUUUUUCCCAACCACAAUCUUUUGAAACCGGAUUCAAAACUUUUUGUUUUGAAUUUUGAACCAAUAAAAAGAAGUUUAUGUUUUUUCAGGAAACUAAUUAAUUUGAAAUUGAAAUGCAAAUGAUAUCAUUCACUGCAUAUUACCAUGCAUCUAACCUAUAAAUUUUUUUAACAAUUGAACAUUAUACUGGUUCAUUAGCAGCAUACAUAUCACAGUACAGGCUGUCAGAAGAAAUUAUGAUUAAGAGCACUAGCUGAAUUCAAAUGGAAGCAACAUAAAGGACGCAUACACUAAUAUUGCACAUUUCGGUCAAAAACAAAACUUAUUUGAAUCAACAUGAAGUAGAAGAACGGAGAAGGAAGAAACAUACGUUGAGAAAACAGUAUCAAUAUGGGAAGAAACCAAAAUAGCAUUUUCUCUUGCUUCAGGUGCAUAUUUUGGCAGCAUUCUUAAUACGCUGUGAUCCAGAUCAGAAUAAAUAAUUGUUCUGUCCACAAACAUGCCACUGUCCAGGCGAGUUGCACCAACAUUAACAAGGAAAAGGUCCACUUCAACAUCAACCUCCCAGUGAGCUGUUUUUUUAAUAUUUUCUAAUUCUGCCAAAACAUACUGUUGUUGAAAGCAGAUUAAGUUAAAUCUACAACAUGAUUGCACAAGAAAUGGAUCGCAAGAACAGCCACUGUAAUUUAAUAUAUAUAUAAGUCAAGAUGCUUGACCGAUGCAAGAACAGCCCUUAUAAAAUAAGGGAUAAAUCAAAUCAUAAAAAUGCAAGGUAAUCCCUGUAAAGCAGCAAAAUAAGAACAUUUUUAAGGCACAACACAAUAUACCAACAACAACAUAACGUCAUCCAGUUGUGAAAUAAUUCUUUUUCUUUUUCUGGUUUAUCUUUUAAUGAGAAUUUUAAUUUCAAAAUGUAUUCUCUUUUAAGUUUUGGGUCUUGAAUUUUAUCAAUAACUUCGAUCAUAAAUUCUUGGUAUUUGGUUAACAUAUUAAUUGAGAGUUCAUUUUCAUCAUUAGAAGACUGAGAUGUUGUACGUAAUUCGUCUAUUUGUAAUUCAUCUGUUUCGAUAGAUAUAUCAUUUUUAGAAGAAGUUGUUUCUAAAUUCUAACAGAAUCUUAUUUAAUUUUUGCUCUAUUUCUUCAUCUAGAUUUAAAUUAUUGAUUUUUCUUUUAAUUUUACAAUAUUUUGAGAUAUAUCCUGGUUUUUCACAUCUAUAACAUUUUAUUGUUUUAUCAAUUUUGUUUUCUGUUGUUUCUUUCAUUUUCUGUAUUUUCUAUAUUUGAGUUUUUUUAUAAUAUUCUGAAAUAUUCUUCUUUCUAUUUUUUGGUUUUAUAGGGCAACAUGUUUUUGAAGAAGAAGGUUCAUUCCUAAUGUCAAAUUGGUGGCAGAAUGAUCCUAAUUCCUUUCUACAUUGAUAUCUUUCUUUCUUAAGUUGCUUUUAUAAUUUUAAAUCUUGAUAAAUUUUUAAUCCUUCUUUUUGGGUGAAACUAAUUAGUUCACCAUAUGUAAGCUUUUCAUAUGGAAUAAUACCUCUGUAAUUUUCUCUUAUUUGAUUUCUAACUUUUUCUCCAAAUAAAGUGGAAAGUCUUGCUAGAAACUUUUCUUUCUAAAUCGGUUGUUGGUUAUAAGACCUUUGCAUAACUCUAGUCAUAAAGACAUCUUUAUACCAUUUAAAAUCGGUUAAUUUUUUGCAUUUUAAAUUUUAACAACAAAUAAUAAAAUAUUAUUAUUGUUAAUAUUUAUAUAUCUUAUAAUUUUUUUAAAGUCAUAUAUAAUCUUAUAAGUAAACUAUUCCUAUGGUGCAUGGAUAUUUAAUUACUGUGAUAAUACAUUCAUUUUUUAUUUAAGUAAAUAUUAAAAAAUAUUUCCUAAUUUAACCAAAGACAAAUAUAAGAAAAUAACCACUUUUAAAUAUAAUAAGAAUUAUUAAUUCUUUAAAAAAAAGGAAUUAUUAAUUACAAUAAAAACAAUUUGACAAAAUAAAACACAUAUUUAAUAUCAAUAUCAAUGUAAUUAAAAUGGUUAGUAAAUGUAAUUGAAUUGAUUCGAACCAAAUCAAUUAAGAAUCAAAAUUAAAAAAAAAAAUCAUUCCGAAAAAAUUAAAAUAAUUUUAAUUGAUAUCUAUUUAGAGAGUAAAAUAAUUUGCGAAGGGUAAAAUGAUCAUUACUCAAAUUAGAUAAUUAUAUGACGUAAUAAUUACUGAAGAAAAAGUAUUGAAACAUGAUUGAUUGAAUAUUUUAUUUUUAUUAUAAGAUAUUUAUUAAUAUUUUAUUUAAUUAAAGUUAGUGUAAAAAGAAAUCUUCAUCUUUCACAAAAGCCUACGUCUAUGGAGAGGAAAAGAACAAAAUUUUGUUUUAUUUAUAAUUUAGACCUUUUCCAUUAAAAUUGUAACAUUCCAAAAACCGGGCUAGAAGAAAUUGAGUCGUGAAACCAAGAGUGGUUAUCUCUCGAUUUGUGAAUUAAGAUUUUUGAAAUUUUAACAAGUUAAUCUUAUUCAAUGGUUUAGUGUUGUGUUUGUGUGCGCGCGAGGUUUUGGGUUUGAAUCUUUUUGUUGAAAAUUUUUGCUAUUUUAUCUAAAUUCCUAUUCUUGAGCAUCUGGCAUAAAUAUUAUUUUUGCUCAGUUGAUAGCAAGAAUGAGCCUACUGAUUUAAUGGUUAAGCUUCUGUAUAUCUUGUGGUCCUGUGUGUGAGUUCAUGUGAAAGCAAUGAGAAGUUAUUUUUAUUAUCCUGCUUUGCGAGUUAGUUUCUAUUUUUUGAAAUUAAUUAAGUUUCUUUCAAAGAAAAACUUCCUAUCCUUUUUACAUUUUUUUUUGUUUUCCUUCCACUUUUUUCUCUACUGUUUCCUUUUCUUUUCUUAUUGGUUGGGAUCUUCUCCCACCCUUAGUUUACUGUUCGAAUCCUUUCGUAUAUGAUAUUCGAAGUUCUGUUGUGCUGUAAUUCUCUAGUCAAAUUGUGUAAGUGUUCUUUGUCAAGUUUUUCUAUGUAUGAGUUUUGAUGAACGAAGUUAUAUUUUUUUGUAUGGAGUAGAUUUCUUAUUUGCACAAGUUUGUUAGGCGAAGAUCUUAAGAGUAACGCUUUUCCUCAACGAUUUGAGUUGUGUUUCGGUUUACGAGCAAAGGUAAGCGUUUAACUUCGUUUAAGAUUUGGUGUCAAAGUCCUUCGAUGUACUUCGCUUUGGAUGUUAGUUCAAGCAUUUUGUUCUGGUUUAUUUGUUUGAUUUAGCCAUUGUAGUGUUGUUUUUUAGGUUCUAGGAUUGCCUCUGUUGCUUCUACGUCAAAACCAUAUCAAGUGGGUACCAAAAACUUGAAUUUCAGCAAUUUACGAACGUCGAAAAACAUGGCCUUUGAUGCCACACGGUCGUGGGUUAGGCCAUGUGGUAGAUUGUGUGAGGCACUAUUUAGGGUCACACGGGCUAAGGACACGGGCGUGUGUCCAGGUCGUGUAACCUAUUGUUUGGGAUCACACGGCUAUGUGUGAGACCGUGUGACAAGUCGUGUGAGUCACUAAGAGGGCCAUACGGGCGUGUGCUAGGCCGUGUAGGUCACACGGGCCAGACACUCAUGUCGUGUGUAUCCAUAAGGGCGUGUGGGUCAAAAUUCUGAAAGUUUUCCUGAGGCCGUGAACGUCUUUUGGGUCAAAUGUAGGUCUUCCGUAGGGUCUGUAUGAUCUGUAUUAAGCUAUAAAACUUAGAAACCAUUGAUUUGUUAGUGUAUAAUCUAGUACCUGUACGUACAUAACAUCUCGGUGCUUUGGUCCAAUGUUCGGGUCAAGUAUGGGGUGUUACAAGAUAUAUUAUAAUCGCACUAAAACGUCAAUAAGGUAAGCUAGAUACAACAUAAUAAUAACAAGCAAAGUAAACAUGGACUCUUUGCAACUAAGAAUGCAGAGAUUCAAUCCAAUCUAGCAUCCACGAUCCAAUCUAGUCCAUCAAUGAAGUUCAUAUCACUAAAAUGAAGAUGUUUGAAAAUGAUUUGAAAUGUUUUUAAACUUGAUUAAUUUUUAGUCCCUGCAUCCAAGUUUCAAAACUUGCAAAGUCAAUAGCUAAAUUGCUAUAGUAAACAACCAAGUCUCAAGACUCAUGUCUCAAGAUUUAAGGUACAAGUCUCGAGACUUUUAGCCUGAAAUGCUUAACAAUAUGUUUUUAUGCCUUGACUCGAUUCUGGAUAAUUUCUAUACGUAAUUGCUUCAUAAUAGGACUUGGGUAAUGGCUUAAAAUGUUGAAUGGGACCUUGAUAACGUUAGGUUAGCUAAUGAAAGUUUAAUAGUCAUUUAGUGAAAGUUUAUAAGUCAUUUAAUUGUAACAUCGCUUACUCGAGUCAACCUUUGGGUUUAGAUAAAGACUGUUACAUUUAAUAAGAAUGAUGAACUUCGUUUGGACUUGAUUAUCCAUCUGAAUUACAUUCAGUUGUAAUUGCAAAUGUUAUUUUACAUUGUUGAAUAGAACAAUCCACUAACGAAUUUUAAUUCAAAUAUAUAUAAUCUAGUUGAAUUUAUGAUUUCAACCAGUUAUGGAUUUGUAUUAUUUUUAUACUUGUAAAGCUUAAGGGUGUGUUUUCCAUUGAAGGGAAAACACUUUUAAACCAAAAGUAAAGUGUUUUUCCACCACAGAAGUUAUGAAAAACACUCGACUUUUGGAGUCAAAAGUGCAACCAAAAAAUGUUUUUCCACUCAAAUGCAAAAGGUAGGAUUAAAGAACUUUUGGUUUUUGGCUUUUAUAUUUGGAAGUGAAAAAUAUCAAAAUAUCUUUAUUUAUGUUAGCUAUUUAUAUUUUAUAUAUCAUUAUAUUAAAUUAUUUGAAUAUAAUUUAUUAUUAUAUUAGAUUAUUAAAAUAUUUUUAUAAAUUUUACAAAUAAUUUAUAUUUAAUGUAUCAUAAUAUUAAUUAUUUAAAUAUCAUAUAACUUAACUAAUUUUUUACUUUUGACUAUCAUAUUUAAAAAGAAAAUUUAAACCAUCAAGCGUAAUUUUUUGGCAGCAAUAGAGAACACUAAAAAUUAACAAAUCACACUUUUUCAUAGUACUUUUCUACUAAACUUUUCAAAACUACUUUCGUUUUAUUUCCUCUUGCUUUUCAAAAAUACCUUUUAUGACCAUAAAUAAUGCUUAACACAUAAAUUCUAAAAGUAUUUUAAAAAAACACUUUUUAACAGCAACAACAAAUAGAAAACUAACCCUAAGUUGAUGAAAGGGCAACAAAACAACCCAUAAUCAAGCCCAAAUGAGAACCCUUAGCUGAGGAACUCACCUUAAAACAAUGGGACCAUGAUAGUUACCUCAAUUUUUUUGAUAAUUGAUAUGCAUCUUACGUACCCUUAGUUAUCUCACUUUAACCAACUAAACGAUAAGUUGGGUUUGCAAGUAAAUGAUUAGCCCUUGGCAACGAGAGCCCAAACUUCUCAGUCAUAUCGAGUUCAUUAGGCAACAUCCCAUCAGGCAACUCCCAAUCAAAGCAAUGAACUAAUUGAGCUAUAAUUAGACGCAUGGUGGUCAACCCUAACUGCAUUCCAGGACAUCCUCUACGGCCACUCCCGAAAGGGAUGAGUUGGAAAUCAUGUCCUCGAAGGUCUAUGUUGCUAUCCUUGAACCUUUCUGGAAAGAACUCUUCAGCAUUGUUUGACCAUACUUUGUGGUCUCGCCCGAUGGACCAAACAUUCACUAAAAUUCGCGACUUCUUUGGAAUGAAAUAUCCAUCAAUGGUGAUAUCUUCUGUCGACUCACGUGGAAUUAGUAAAGGCGCCACUGGAUGCAACCUUAAACUCUCUUUGAUGACCAUAUCUAAGUAAGCAAGCUUCGGUAGAUCCGACUCUUCUACCAUUCUAUGCCUUCCAACAAUUCUUUCUAGUUCUUGUUGAAGAGCAACCAUGACUGAAGGAUGCCUUAGAAGCUCUGCAAGUGUCCACUCAAUGGCUGUAGCUGUGGUGUCAAAUGAAGCUGCCACCAUGUCCACCAUUAUGGCCUUGAUGUUUUCUCUACCAAUGAUGUACUGCUGCUCUUCAUCGUUAGGGUUCAUGGGUGUAUCCAACAAUGAAACCAGUACAUGAAAGAAAUCUGUGUAAGGUUUUUGUUCCUUGGCGUAAGUCCCUUGUUGAUGUUCAUCAACCAUUUUGUCAAAAAUUGCGUGAAGCCCAUUGCUUGUCCUCUUAAGCCUUCUUCUAUAUCCCUGCAAUGAAACGAUAGAUGGAAUCUGUAAUAUAUUAUUUUAUUCUUCAUUACUGUCAAGUCUUUGUGAAAAUACUAGAUUUAUUUGGUGAAUCAAGUAUUUUAAUUUUUUUUAAUUCGAACCAGAUAAUUUCUAAAGAAGGUAAAGAUACGACGAAUAUGUCACAACUUGAUAAGUAUUUUAAUCUUUUAAAAACCUAUAAAAUCAAAUUAUUCAAAGAUAAUUAAACUCUUAAAAUACUUCUUUAUAGCUAGACCAAUCGAUUAAACCCACAGUUGAAUAGGUUUUUUUUUUAUAAUUUUUAAAUAAUUUAUUCAAUUGAAACGAUUUUCAACGAAUAAAGUGCAACAAAUAAUUUGAAAAAUCAUAAGAACUAGCGUGAUGCAAAACAACUAAAAGCAUGAAAUUGAAUUUUUUUUUAUAAGGGGUUGAAGUGGACUUGUUCAUAGAUUAGGUUAUUUAUCUAGACUCGAAGGCUUGUCUGAAAUUUAGAAGGGUUUAGGCAAAAAAUGUUAGGUUCGAAAAUGAGCUUGGGCAAAAAAAUUAAGCCCAUUUAAAAUAUGGGUUGGACUCGAGCUUGAACAUUCAAGGUUUAAGCCUGGUUCAAUCCGUUUUAAAAUUUAUAAUACUUUAUAUUAUGUAAUUUAGAACACAUUAAGAAACAAACCUAUAGUAAAUAUAUAAUACUACUCUAAUGUAAACAAUAAAAUAAUGUUAAUAUGAUUAUAUAAAAAAUUUCAAUAAAUAAAAAUGUAUAAAAUUAUUAAAUAUUAAAAUAAUAUAAUAUAAAUAUUUAAAAAAAUUAAAAAUAAUAUGGACGAGCCUAAAAUGGGCUUGGGUUAAUUUUUUUGUAAAUUUGAGUGAAUUUGGAUAAAAUUUUAAGUUUAUAUUCUGGGUCAGACCAAACUUAAACAAACAUAAAAUCUAUUAUUAUACUUAAUACCAACCCAUGAACACUUAUAGGUUGAAGGGUGAAGAGACUUAAUAUUUUUGAAGCUUGAACUUUUGUUUUUAAAGGUUGAACCUUGAAGUUCUAGAUGUGAGUAAUUUGUGAAUAUUUUUAAAACUUGAAGCUCGAUGGAGUAAUAUUUAUUAAAUUUAUAAUUAUUUUAUUUAAAAUGUAUUUUAUGUCACUCCCAAUUUGUAAGUCAUAACUCGAUUGUUUUUUUUAAUUAUCUAAUUAUAAAAAUAAGUUUUUAUAAAUAUUAUUUACUCUUUUAAUAACCUUUCACUUUUUAAACAUAAUGUCGUUUUAUUAAAAAAAUUAUUUCGUAGAUCUUUCCUAACACACUAUUUAUAGUCCCUAAUGAAUUAUAUAAGGUUUAACUCAUAAAUUAGUAUUUAAAUUAUACUGAUUUUCUCAUCUUGGUAUCUAAACUUUUUUUAGUCACAUGUGAUACCUAAACUACUUUUUUUUCUUCAAGUUGGUACCUCUGUUGAGUAAAUCGUUAGUCAAACUGUUAAAUCUAUUUAAAAAAUAAGCUUAACCCAUAAAUUGGUAUCUAAACUAUACAUUUUUUCCAGUUUGGCACCUAAACAUUGUUUUAGUUACAAGUGAUACCUAAACUACCAGGGGUGGAGCCAGAAAUGAAAUUUUAAUUUUUAAUAGUCUAUAUAUUUAUAAUUUUUAAAAGAUUAAAUUAAAUUUUUUUAUAAUUUUAGGGGGCCAAAGUUUAAUUUUACCUUUACUAAAUUAAAAUUUUAAAAAUUCCUAAAGGACCUAAAUAACAAUUUUCCAUUUGAGAGGGGAUUGAGGCCCUUGCCAGCCCCCUAGAUUCGCCUCUGUAGACUGCUUUUUUUCCCAAAUUGACAUAUAUGUUAGUUUAAGAUUGUUAAUUGUAUGGAGUUGUGAUUUCACAUCAUUCAUAUCCCUUUCUAAUAAGAGAAUGACAAAUAAGAUUUUUCCUCCUGAUUUUUAGCAUAUUCAAUUGGAUUUGAAUUUUUUUAGGAGAAAAAAAGCUAAAGUUUAAGAUGAAAAAUCUAAUUUGUCAUUCUCCUAUUGGAAAUGAAUAUAGAUGACAUAAUAAUUAAAAAUUGACAUGUGUCAAUAAAAGCAAAAAAUAUUAUUUUCUCUUGUAUAUAUAUUUUUAUUUUUUUCUUUAAAAUUGGACUGAUGGUUGAACCGGUUAAGCCACAAAUUCUCAGUUUGAUCACUUUUUUUUGGUUCGAUUAAAUAUUAUUGGUGAUAGGCUUUUUUUUUAUGAACUUUUUUUAACUUCAGCUCAUGUUUUCAUGAUAAACUUUUUUUUUUCUAACCUAGAAGGGUGCGGCUUGAUACAUUCGCAACAUCCACUUAAAAAUAUAUAUAUUUUAUUUUUCUCUCAUCGUGUAUAUCCGUGAAAAUACAAAUAUUUUAAAAAGAUAUACACUAGUUCCGCCAGAAACAGUGAUGGCACCAAUAAUUUUUUUAAAGAAAAAACAUAAUUAUUGGCUGAUGAUUGGUCGAAAAAGUUGUAACGUUGCCGAUGUGUCAGAUGACACCGGUUUGUACGGUAACAAACAACUUAUUUUCGUAAAUAAAUUUUCUCAUUGUUUGUAAUUAAUUAAAUUUUUUAUAUUAUUUUGAUAAAAAAAUCUACAUCUUAUACAAUUUUCCUAAUUUUUUAUAUUAUUCUGAUAAAAAAACCCAAGAUGGAGCAAGUAAUAACAAAAUAAAUUGUGAAAAGGAAAAUCAUAUAAAAAUAGGAUAAAAUGAGAAAAAGAAAAGGAUAUUUACCUGAAGGUCAAGUGGUGCAAGAAAAGGUAGAUAAUCUGAUAGAUUGAAAACCCCAGCCAAGAGCAUGGUCUCGUCAACUAGCGGUUUGAAUUGGAAUUUAUCAUCCAUGGACUGCCCGAAAAGCAGUUUACACAUCAUUACUUCAAUAACCUUACCUAACUUCCGGCUAAGGUCCACCGUCUCACCCGCCGUCACUGCCUUCCUCACCGAUUCAACCAAUGACACCACCUCUUCCUUCCUAACUGGGGCAAAACAUUCGAUUUUUGAAGCACUAAGGAAGUGCAAAGUGGACAAUUUCCGUGCAGUUCGCCAAUAGGAACCGUAGUGGGCAAAAGCCAAGCCCUUGCCACUGUAGGUCAAGUACUCGGUAGAUUGGAGGUUAGGCCUGGAAGCAAAAACAAGGUCAUGGACCUUGAGGAACUGUUCAGCGGCUUCAGGUGAUGAUACCACAAUGGUCGGUACAUAGCCUAGCUUUAUUGACAUUAUGGGUCCAUAUUUUUUGCCAAGAUGGUGAAGGGUUUGGUGAGGAAGGUUCCCUAGCAUAUGGAGGUUACCAAUAAUGGGAAGAGGAGCAGGACCGGGUGGAUGUUUCCGGCCAUUUUUGUGGUGGUUUCGUGGGCGGAAGAAGUAGAUAAAGGAACAAAG
RNAcentral lists this long non-coding RNA (12751 nucleotides) under Gossypium raimondii (Peruvian cotton). Its description in RNAcentral is "long non-coding RNA (GRAI_LNC010238)". The record is from RNAcentral. Lineage: Eukaryota; Viridiplantae; Streptophyta; Magnoliopsida; Malvales; Malvaceae.